CCAUGUGACCUGCGGAGGGACAUUACACAAUUAAAAUAUGAAGGCUUCGGCUGGAUUAUUUUUAUUACCCUUGUCUUUUGCGCACUUGUUGUUUCCUGGGCGGGUUCGCCCGCCACCAGGACCACACCAUAAACCUUUUUUAUGCAGUUGCAAUCAGCGUCAGUAUAACAAAUGUAAAUCAUUUACAACUUUCAACAACGGAUCUCUUGGUUCUGGCAUCGAUGAAGAACGCAGCGAAAUGCGAUACGUAGUGUGAAUUGCAGAAUUCAGUGAAUCAUCGAAUCUUUGAACGCACAUUGCGCCCUUUGGUAUUCCAAAGGGCAUGCCUGUUCGAGCGUCAUUUGUACCCUCAAGCUUUGCUUGGUGUUGGGCGUCUUUUUGUCUUUGGCCCCGCCCAAAGACUCGCCUUAAAAGGAUUGGCAGCCGGCCUACUGGUUUCGCAGCGCAGCACAUUUUUGCGCUUGCAAUCAUGCAAAAAAGGACGGCAAUCCAUCAAGACUACAUUUUUUUACCUUUGACCUCGGAUCAGGUAGGGAUACCCGCUGAACUU
RNAcentral lists this ribosomal RNA (550 nucleotides) under uncultured Pleosporales. Its description in RNAcentral is "eukaryotic LSU rRNA". The stretch from base 187 to 340 matches the Rfam family "5.8S ribosomal RNA". The record is from RNAcentral. Lineage: Eukaryota; Fungi; Ascomycota; Dothideomycetes; Pleosporales.